GGACGAUUGUACUGAUCAAAGGAUGAGGAUGGUAAGAGGAAACGAAGAGGGGCCCGAUGGUGCUCACGGGAUGAGUACGACUAGAGAAAAAGCCGAAUGUGCUUGCUAUUGCAGUGACAAAGGACGACAAGGAAGAGGAGAGGAAGGUCUGGUGAUUGGUGGGUUGGCGUGAAUAAAAUGAUUUGCUGGGUAAUUUCUUACAAUAGUAUUAUUAGUCAUUCGAAAUCGAAGAAAAUGAUUCUAAGAAGUCAAAAAGUAUCCAGAGAGGGGAGAGAGAAGGAGAAUUGUUCCCCGCUCGCCAUCUUCGACUGAUCCAGUCUGUCAGCCAGUCAGUAGUAGUCAUAAAGGUCGCUGCUGCUGCCGCCGCCGGUGGUGGUGGUUGGAAGGGCGAAAACAUUGGCCGAAACCAUCCGGCGGGACAGGAGGAGGCGGCGGCGUUUUGGAUAUUGGAUUACAAGUUAAGAGGCUCUGAACAACGGCGGCUUCCAAGAGCACCCAAGGGCAAGACAUAAUCUCUCUCUCUCUCUCUCUUCUUCUGUUAUUAUGUCUAGAUGGAAAUACGACGUCUUCUUGAGCUUCAGAGGCGAAGACGCGCGCAGCGGCAUCUUCGACCAUCUGUAUGCGGCUCUGCAUCAGAAGGGCAUUGUCACCUUCAAGGAUGAUCUGAAUCUAAAGAGAGGAGAACCAAUUUCUCCAGCGCUCCUGAAGGCCAUCGAAGACUCCAGGUCUGCGAUCAUCAUUUUCUCCAAAGGCUAUGCUUCUUCCACCUGGUGCUUGGAGGAACUCGUUAAGAUCCUCGAAUGUAAGGAAACAAGGGGGCUCACCGUUUUGCCACUGUUCUAUAAAGUAGAUCCCUCGGACGUACGGAAACAAAGAGGGACUGUUGCCGAAGCAUUCGCUGAACACGAGCAAGUUUUCAGGGAAAAGAAGGAGAAGUUGCAGAGCUGGAGGAAUGCUCUAACAGAAGCAUCCAACAUUUCUGGGUGGGAUUCACUGAAACAUGGGCCUGAAGCAAAGCUUGUUCAAGACAUUGUAAAUAAUAUUCAAUGUGGACUGGGAGAUGAUGAUUCAAGCAUUCUUGAAGAUUUUGUUGGAUUGGGUCCUCGUGUGGCAGAAGUGAAAUCGCUGUUGGGAAUCGGAUUGGAUGAUCCACGUAUAAUAGGGAUAUGUGGAAUGGGUGGCAUAGGAAAGACUACUAUUGCCAAGGCUGUCUAUGACCAAAUUCAUUCUCAGUUUGAUGCUAGCAGCUACCUUGCAAAUGUCAGAGAAUAUUCUAAGAAAGAUGGACUGGAGUCAUUGCAACAAUUGCUUCUUUCUGAUAUCCUCUUAGAUAGUGCUACUAAAAUAAGAAACCUUUAUCAUGGGAUAAGUAUGAUAAAGAACAAGGUACAACAUAAGAGUGUUCUUUUAGUCCUCGAUGAUGUGGACCGUUCAAAUCAACUGGAAGCACUUGUUGGAAAGCUGGAUUGGUAUGGUUCAGGAAGUAGAAUUAUAAUAACAACCAGAAACUCUCAUUUACUUACCAUAUAUCAAGCAAGUCAUGUUUAUAACGUCAAGGCACUAGAUUACAGGGAGGCUUUUGAGCUAUUUUGUUGUAAAGCAUUCAAGAAAAGACAACCAACACCGGGUUUUGAGCAUCUCAUAGCGAGUGUACUUGAUUAUGCUAAUGGAGUUCCAUUAGCUCUUGGUGUUUUGGGUUCUUUUCUCAUUGGCAGAAAGGCAAAUGAAUGGCAGAGCACAGUCGAUAGAUUAAGACAACAGCCUAAUGCAGAAAUUCAGGAAGUGCUCAAAUUAAGCUAUGAUGGACUGGGAAAUACAGAGAAGGAAAUUUUUCUUGACAUUGCAUGCUUCUUUAAAGGGGAGAGUGAAGACUACAUAGUUGAUAUAUUGGAUGCUUGUGGUUUCUGCCCUCACAUUGGAAUAAGCAUUCUUGUUGAGAAGUCACUUAUGACUAGAAGGGGCGAUACGAUAGAUAUGCAUGAUCUAAUACAAGACAUGGGGUGCCAUAUUGUUGAUGAAGAAUCCCCAAAAGAGCCAGGUAGAAGAAGUAGGCUGUGCCGCAAUAAAGAAAUCUACCGUACACUCGCAAAUAAAACAGGGACAGAAGCAGUGGAGGCCAUUAUUUUGGAUUCUCGUGGAACUAAAGAGAUAUAUUUGAGUCCUGAUACAUUUUCAAAGAUGAGCAAAUUGCGACUACUCAGGCUUAGGAAUGUUCAACUUCCUAAUGGUCUCAACUACCUCUCCAAUGAGUUAAGCCUUCUUGAUUGGCAUGGAUACCCUUCAAAAUGCAUGCCAUCAAAUUUUCAACCAAACAAGCUUAUCCAACUAAAAAUGUCCUAUAGCCGCCUCCGGCAACCUUGGAAGGGAACAAUGUGCCUAGACAAGUUGAAAUACAUUGACCUUAGUUAUUCGCUAAGCAUAACCAAGAUCUCAGAUUUCACUCAGGUAGCAAAUCUUAAGGAACUGAUUCUUAGAGGUUGUAUGAACUUGUUUGAGAUCGACCCAUCCAUUGGAGUCCUCAAAAGGCUUACUUUCUUAGAUUUGAAGGACUGCAAGUAUCUUAAGGUUCUUCCUACGGGCACCUGGAUUGAAUCCCUUGAAAGCCUUGUUCUUUCUGGUUGUUCAAAACUCAAAAAUAUUUCUGAAGUCCUAGUGUGUGCAAAAUGCUUAAUUAAUCUAAAGUUGGAUGGGACUUGUGUAAAGGAUCUGCCAGUUGAACAUCUCAGCAAUCUUGAAAUGAUUAGUCUGCGGGAUUGUACAAAACUUACAAGUCUUCCAAGUGGCAUUUGUGAGUUGAAAUGUCUCACAAGGUUGAUACUUUCUGGCUGCUCAAACCUUAACAAGUUGCCUGAGAACCUGGGAAAAUUGGAAAGCUUGGAGGAGCUUCUUGUUGAUAAAACUGCUAUUAAAGAACCACCAUUAUCGAUUAUACACUUGAAGAACCUUGAACUUUUGUCAUUUAGUGGAUGCAAGGGAGGAGUAACGUCUACACUAAGGAAUUCACUGUUUUCAUCAUUUCUUAUUCGAAAAGAAUGUCAAGGUUCCAUAUGUUUGCUGCUACCUCCUCUAUCAGGUUUAUGCUCAUUAACAGAACUAGAUCUAAAUGAGUGCAACCUUUCAGAAGCAUUUCUCCCAAACGACCUAGGCUCCUUAUCCUCAUUGGAAUUUUUAUGCCUUAAUGGUAACAAUUUUACUAGUUUGCCAGCUAGCAUCGGUGGUCUUCUCAGACUUUUCUCCCUUGAAUUGAAGGAUUGCAAGAAUCUUAAGACAUUGCCUGACCUCCCAUCAAGUAUCAGGUUGAUUAAUGCAAGUGGAUGCAUAUCAUUAGAAAGAUUUCAAAAUCCGACUAGUAUGCCUGAAAAUCUUGUGGAGUUCAAUUUAAGUAAUUGCCUUACACUAGCAAAGAAUCAGCCCAGCCUUCCCCUUGAACUUCUUCGAAAUCAACUCAAGGUCUCUCUCUCUCUCUCUCUCUCUCUCUCAUGUCCUUUUGGGUGGUGCAGGGUUCUGCUACUUCAAGUAAGGAAGACAUCUACUUCAGUGUUGUUGUUCCUGGAAGAAAGCUUCCAAAGUGGGUCAACCAUCAAAAUACAAAGGCUCCAAAUUAUGCCAGUUGCUUUCUGGAAUGUUAUGGGAUGUCCAGUGAUGAUGCAGUCUAUGGCACAUGCAGGCGCAUUAACGUCUUUCAGGGGCAAAUAUGCUUCAAUUCAGAUCACUUGUUUUUGCAAUACAUACCACUAUCAUUUGUUUCUCGAGAACAAUGAAGUGGUGACUCAGUUGAAAACUUGGACUCAUUUCAUUGUUUAUUUUACGAGUAGUAAGCCUGAGAUGUUUGCACCAGUAAAAUGUGAUGCUUAUCUAUUAUAUGAGAAUGGCACAGAAUGGAUGGAUAAAAGAAGUAUCCUACAAACUGACCGUGAGCUAUAUGAUGUCUCAACUGAAGUGAUACGAGAUUCAUUUAAGUUGCUCUCUCAAGUAGUUGAAGAUCCUGAUUGUUACAUGGUGUGUGUGGGAAAAAAGACUAGGACAAGUGAGACAAAGAUGGAACAAUAAUCCAAUAAGGGAGGUGAACUAAGUUGUAUAAAAUUUAUGGUUUUUGAAUAGUUUUGAAACCUUCUUUUUGGUUUUAAAACAGCUUGCUAAAAAGAUUUGGACUAAAAGCAACUCCGUCAGUCUGCAAAGCUCAGAUUGGAAUUGAGUGAGAUCCACUUGUGAAGGAGAUUGAAGGGUUCUGGACAGAACAUAUCAGUAUGCAGAAGAAUCUGAAAGGAAUUCUCAAAAUAUUAGGCAGAUUUGCGAGGUGCCAAGGGUGAUCCAAUUUUCACUUUACUUGACUUCAUGUUCCUCAAUUAUGCAUGUCAGAUGCAUGGUUCAAUUUCCGAAAAACAUAGGUGAUGCCCUUACUUACAAUUUUUCUGUUACGAAUUCCAAGAAAUACUAAUUAAAAUCUCAAGUUCCUAAUUAUCAGGUUAGAUUUUCUAGUUCUGGGUCCAAUUCAUCUGAGUUGUACUUAAAUACAAUUCAUUUCGGCCUCUAAACCAGAGAUUAAGCUUUUGUAAGCAUUUGGUGGGCCUACUGACUUGUCUCUUCUGGAAUACCAGGAUGUUACAUAGCACGAUCUUGAUGCUGCAAAUGCACAGCCUCAAGGUGGACAGGAUAUCUACUGUCCUUAAUGAAUCAGAUGACGAAACACAGAAAAAUAGAAAUUACUGACAAAUUACAACAGGAGAUAAACAAAGUACCUUUUAUUUUUUUUUAUAUUCCUUGAAUUUCUCCUCGUAUCCUGCAAUAAGCGAUGAAUCUAAAAUUUAUGCCUACAGGAUAAUGUAUACCUGAAUGUCUUUUUUUCUUGUUUCCUUUCGUUCUCUUUUUUGAAAUAGAACCUGAAAGUUUUGUUGAUUACAGGUUGUUAAUGGUUGUUACGUUGAGGAGGGCCUCGACCUGAAUAAUUUCAGCUGGAAUGAAAGCUUCUGUCCUUAUAAUUACCAGUCGAUCUAACAAGUAGACAGAAACUUAUGGUCCAGCUGAAAUGAUUCAGGUUGAGGCCUGUUUUGAUAUAAAUUAUGUUUUAUUGUAUCCACAACCUAUUUUGAUACACAAGAAUUAUCCAAGGCCUUCCCUCUUGAUUGUUUUGCAGCCAUGAUGCUUGCCAGAUUUUAGCAAUUUGUGGAUGAAGAAAGUCUGGUUUUACCUUGGAGAGAGUGGAAAGCAAGCAUCUUUAAGGCAUGCUUUAUUAUGUUUUGAGGUUUUUGUGGUUGGUCUUGUUCUCUACAUUCAAGGACUCAGAUUUUACCUAACCGUACUGUUGUCUCAGGCAUGCAGUUCAGCUUUUAUCACCUGCAAGUGGUGUGGCUAAAACGAAUGGUAGAGAGAAUGAAUAAUAUUUGCAAUGUGUUUAUUAUCUACACUUGUAGGUGGUUAUGAUGAAUAAUACAUAGGGAACUAAGGGAAGCAUCUCCUUGAGUCUUUCUUUGAUUUCUACAUCUUUCAGGCAGAGAGAUCUUCAGGAAGUGAAUGCUCGUCAUCUGGUUCCAAAGUCUCGGCAAGACUUACUCCAAGAGCAGCAGGACAGAUACAUAUCGUGAUUCCUCCUGUCUAAAACUCUUAUCUGCAUGCUUGAUUUCAAACAGUAAUCGCUUAUCCGAUGAGAAUGUCACUAAAACGGGGAUUGGCCUUUGAUUCAAUUUGGAGCUUCCGAUUAGGUAUGUUCACAAAGGAGAAUUAGGUCUGAGCACAGGCAUGCUUUCCUGGUACUUUCCCAUGACCUUUGCUAAGCGAGGAUCCUGGUGUAUCAGGGACUGUCUGUCUUGUUUUUCUGGGCAUCAACAGACACGGUGGAGUUUUGAUUGUCCACGAAGGAUAAUUAGGUGAUCCCAGUUUGGCUUUUCAAGUUUAUCCUGGAAUUAUUUCUCCCCAAGUUACGUUUACUAUUCAGAAGCUUUCUUGGGCGUGGUAAUUUGGAGAAUCAAAUGUAACAUUUGUCAGCUCGAAUGUGGUAGCCAUCUCGUAAAUUGUGCGUUGUUGUCUGCAACUUCUCCAGUUCUGGAUUAAUUUAUCCCAUUCUUUCUGCUACCUUUAGAAGUUUUGCUUGUUCAUUAUAGUUGUUGGGACAUGGGCUUGUUUUGUUAUCUUUCUCACAAUUCCAAGGGCAUCCGGUACUGGUACCGGCAGGCAUAUUCGUAGGGAUCAAUU
Molecule: RNA transcript, 6189 nt
Organism: Diospyros lotus (date-plum)
Lineage: Eukaryota; Viridiplantae; Streptophyta; Magnoliopsida; Ericales; Ebenaceae
Gene name: disease resistance protein RUN1-like
Exons: 6
Source: RefSeq, a predicted model, not a curated record